CAGGACUCGCAAGACUCCUACAACCCUGUGAACUUAACUAUAAGCACGUUGCUUCGGCGGGUGUCUCGGCGAGGGUCUUCCCUCCCCGGGGCGCUAAGCCCGCCGGCAGCCUACUAUACUCUGUCUCUUUGCGUUGGCAUCUCGAGUACAAACAAACAAGUUA
This 163-nucleotide unclassified non-coding RNA is filed under the name uncultured fungus. Its description in RNAcentral is "sequence contains ITS1, 5.8S rRNA gene". The record is from RNAcentral. Lineage: Eukaryota; Fungi.